RNAcentral lists this long non-coding RNA (522 nucleotides) under Oryza sativa tropical japonica subgroup. RNAcentral describes it as "lncRNA OsAzu_06g0015030". The record is from RNAcentral. Lineage: Eukaryota; Viridiplantae; Streptophyta; Magnoliopsida; Poales; Poaceae.
AUCGGGGCGCCGGCUGAGACCGAGCGGCGGCUGCUCGUUGCGAUCGGGGCAGGACCCCGCUUCUCCCGUCCAAUCCGGCGGUGGCUCGGUGACGAGAGGGCGGCGAGAGCUCGGCUCCUCCCUCGCCUCUUCUCCCCUCCAAUCCCGGUGGCAGCGGCGGCGGCGGCUCCGCGACAAGGAAGGGCGGCGGGAGCUUGGUUCCUCCCUCCCCUCUUCUCCCCUUCAAUCCCGGCGGCGGCUCGGCGACAAGUGCGGGACAAGGGCGGCGGCUCGGCAACGGCGGCUCAGCGGCGACGACGACGACAGCGACAUGGGAGGGGCCUUGGCGACUUUGACGACGACCGUGACGACGGAGGGCCUCGUCGACAUCGACGGCGCGCGGUGGACGGCGACGAGCGGAUCCGGCACCACCUCCUCCAUCCACCGCGCCACCUCCAUCUCCGCCCCCAGCCACCUCGUCGCCCUUCCCCGCCUCGCUCCCCCAGCCAGGGAAGGGACGGUGGCGCGCGGAUCUGCCGCCUC